Long non-coding RNA from Rosa rugosa (rugosa rose), 897 nucleotides. RefSeq lists it as uncharacterized. The transcript is spliced from 4 exons. NCBI's taxonomy places the organism in Eukaryota, Viridiplantae, Streptophyta, Magnoliopsida, Rosales, Rosaceae. The record is from RefSeq and is a predicted model, not a curated record.
CUCUCUUUCUUUCUCUCAAACCUCUGGUGUCUGCCAGAGUUUCUAUUCAUUUAAUCAUUUAUAACUAUAUGUUGAUUAUCUUGAAUAUUUUGGCCAUUAUAUUCUGGGUCUUUUCAAAUUGAAUGAAUAUAUGUUGAACUGUUUUCCAAGAGGAAGCAAGAUUGGGGAACAAAGAAAAAAUCAAACUCUGUAAUUAGGGUUUUAGAGAGACACAGUAAUAUGGACCAUGGCCUUCGUCCCAGACAGAGGGAGUUCUUCAUUGGCUUCACAAAGGGCCAGUUGCAGCUCUGCUGAUCUCCAAAAGCCAGCUGAACUGGAUGGGAAGGCAUGUGCAGCUGUUGGACAGCCUGAUCUGAUGGCUCUCUUUAAGUCCGUGUUUAGUGAGAAUGUGACACAAGCUUAGUGUCUUGUCACAGAAAGUGACUUUAGGGGUAAAGAUUUUCAAAGGCAGCUGAAAGAAAUGGUCGAUCACUUGCUGUCUUUAAGGACUAUACCUAUAUUCAAUGAAAAUGAUGCAGUUAGUACCAGAACAGAUUUAUGUGAGGAUUCUUCUGGUAUAUUUUGGGACAAUGACAGUUUGGCAGCUAUACUAGCUAAGGAGCUAAAGGCUGAUCUUCUUAUCCUUAUGAGUGAUGUGGAGGGUCUCUACAGUGGGCCUCCCAAGUGACACAAAUUCAGAGCUCAUUCAUUCAUACAUACAUAAAGGAGAGGCAUCAAGGCGGAGUCACUUGUGGAGUAAAAUCAAGAAUGGGACGAGGGGAAUGGCUGCGAAAGUAAAGGCUGCUGUUGAUGCAGCUUCGCAUCCCUGUUGUCAUCACCAGGUGUUCUUCAAGACUUGGUUGGUGUCAUCAUUUUAUGAAAUUUUGUUAGAAAACAUAUGUAUGAAUGAUUAACUAU